UGAUAAAAAUUUAGUCUAUUUAUAUCGUUAUAUAUUAACAUGGUUGGUGAAAUAAUAAGACAAUGACACGUGGUGUGUUAUGUAUACCACAUACUAACGUAUAAAGAUAAGUUUUAACAGUAGAAAUGAAUGAAAUUUUUAAUA
Non-coding RNA from Gossypium raimondii (Peruvian cotton), 144 nucleotides. NCBI's taxonomy places the organism in Eukaryota, Viridiplantae, Streptophyta, Magnoliopsida, Malvales, Malvaceae. The record is from Rfam.